This 63-nucleotide transfer RNA is filed under the name Lasioglossum villosulum. RNAcentral describes it as "tRNA-Pro". The record is from RNAcentral. Lineage: Eukaryota; Metazoa; Arthropoda; Insecta; Hymenoptera; Halictidae.
CAAGAUGUAGUUUAUAAAAACGUUAAUUUUGGGGAUUAAAGUAAUUAAUUUUAAUUUUCUUGA